CAACUUUGCUGGGGGUGCCCCGUAAGGGGCUGAGAAAGAGAGUUCUCUUAUCCCUUUGAACCUGAUCUGGUUAGUACCAGCGUAGGGAAGCGAUGUUCCGGGAAU
Molecule: regulatory RNA element, 105 nt
Organism: Peptococcaceae bacterium CEB3
Lineage: Bacteria; Bacillati; Bacillota; Clostridia; Eubacteriales; Peptococcaceae
Rfam family: TPP riboswitch aptamer (THI element)
About the family: Vitamin B(1) in its active form thiamin pyrophosphate (TPP) is an essential coenzyme that is synthesised by coupling of pyrimidine and thiazole moieties in bacteria. The previously detected thiamin-regulatory element, thi box was extended, resulting in a new, highly conserved RNA secondary structure, the THI element, which is widely distributed in eubacteria and also occurs in some archaea.
Source: Rfam